UACGUAGGCCCCGAGCGUUGUCCGGAUUUAUUGGGCGUAAAGCGAGCGCAGGUGGUUUAUUAAGUCUGGUGUAAAAGGCAGUGGCUCAACCAUUGUAUGCAUUGGAAACUGGUAGACUUGAGUGCAGGAGAGGAGAGUGGAACUCCAUGUGUAGCGGUGAAAUGCGUAGAUAUAUGGAGGAACACCGGUGGCGAAAGCGGCUCUCUGGCCUGUAACUGACACUGAGGCUCGAAAGCGUGGGGAGCAAACAGG
Molecule: ribosomal RNA, 252 nt
Filed under: uncultured bacterium
Lineage: Bacteria
Description: partial 16S ribosomal RNA
Rfam family: Bacterial small subunit ribosomal RNA
Source: RNAcentral